AAUCAACGCUGGCGGCGUGCCUAACACAUGCAAGUCGAACGCGAAAGCCCCGCAAGGGGUAAGUAGAGUGGCGAACGGGUGAGUAACACGUGGGUGACCUGCCUUCGAGUGGGGGAUAACGUCCCGAAAGGGACGCUAAUACCGCAUGACACCCUGCUUUUUAAGAGGUGGAGAUCAAAGCCGGGGAUCGCAAGACCUGGCGCUUGAAGAGGGGCCCGCGCCUGAUUAGCUAGUUGGUGGGGUAAGGCUCACCAAGGCAACGAUCAGUAUCCGGCCUGAGAGGGCGGACGGACACACUGGGACUGAGACACGGCCAGACUCCUACGGGAGGCAGCAGUGGGGAAUUGUUCGCAAUGGGCGCAAGCCUGACGACGCAACGCCGCGUGGAGGAUGAAGACCUCGGUC
RNAcentral lists this ribosomal RNA (405 nucleotides) under uncultured bacterium. Its description in RNAcentral is "bacterial SSU rRNA". It matches the Rfam family "Bacterial small subunit ribosomal RNA", at positions 29 to 424 of the family's 1533-position model. The record is from RNAcentral.